UACUUUGCGCAGUGGCAGUAUCGUAGCCAAUGAGGUUAAUCCGAGGCGCGAUUAUUGCUAGUUGAAAUCUUUUGCAUAAGGCG
This 83-nucleotide small nuclear RNA is filed under the name Chrysemys picta bellii (western painted turtle). Its description in RNAcentral is "U4 spliceosomal RNA (ENSCPBG00000018686.1)". It matches the Rfam family "U4 spliceosomal RNA", at positions 1 to 84 of the family's 138-position model. From Rfam's summary of the family: U4 small nuclear RNA (U4 snRNA) is a component of the major U2-dependent spliceosome. Lineage: Eukaryota; Metazoa; Chordata; Testudines; Emydidae. The record is from RNAcentral.